Molecule: transfer RNA, 77 nt
Filed under: uncultured organism
Also listed under: 1 other name
Description: tRNA-Ile
Rfam family: tRNA
About the family: Transfer RNA (tRNA) molecules are approximately 80 nucleotides in length. Their secondary structure includes four short double-helical elements and three loops (D, anti-codon, and T loops). Further hydrogen bonds mediate the characteristic L-shaped molecular structure. tRNAs have two regions of fundamental functional importance: the anti-codon, which is responsible for specific mRNA codon recognition, and the 3' end, to which the tRNAs corresponding amino acid is attached (by aminoacyl-tRNA synthetases). tRNAs cope with the degeneracy of the genetic code in two manners: having more than one tRNA (with a specific anti-codon) for a particular amino acid; and 'wobble' base-pairing, i.e. permitting non-standard base-pairing at the 3rd anti-codon position.
Source: RNAcentral
GGGCCUGUAGCUCAGUCGGUAAGAGCGCACGCCUGAUAAGCGUGAGGUCGGUGGUUCGAGUCCACUCAGGCCCACCA